GAUGAACGCUGGCGGCGUGCUUAACACAUGCAAGUCGAACGGAAAGGCCGAAGCUUGCUUCGGUACUCGAGUGGCGAACGGGUGAGUAACACGUGGGUGAUCUGCCCUGUACUUCGGGAUAAGCUUGGGAAACUGGGUCUAAUACCGGAUAUGACGAUCUCUUGGAUGGGGUUGUGGAAAGCUUUUGCGGUAUGGGAUGAGCUCGCGGCCUAUCAGCUUGUUGGUGGGGUAAUGGCCUACCAAGGCGUCGACGGGUAGCCGGCCUGAGAGGGUGUACGGCCACAUUGGGACUGAGAUACGGCCCAGACUCGUACGGGAGGCAGCAGUGGGGAAUAUUGCACAAUGGGCGCAAGCCUGAUGCAGCGACGCCGCGUGGGGGAUGACGGCCUUCGGGUUGUAAACUCCUUUCGCAAUCGACGAAGCCUUUUGGUGACGGUAGGUUGAGAAGAAGCACCGGCUAACUACGUG
This 468-nucleotide ribosomal RNA is filed under the name uncultured bacterium. Its description in RNAcentral is "partial 16S ribosomal RNA". It matches the Rfam family "Bacterial small subunit ribosomal RNA", at positions 28 to 507 of the family's 1533-position model. The record is from RNAcentral.